UCCGUAGGUGAACCUGCGGAAGCAUCAUUA
Molecule: ribosomal RNA, 30 nt
Filed under: Armillaria ostoyae
Lineage: Eukaryota; Fungi; Basidiomycota; Agaricomycetes; Agaricales; Physalacriaceae
Description: partial 18S ribosomal RNA
Source: RNAcentral